GUCCCCGUCCCCCCCCACCCCGCAGCGCCGCGGAUGCUCUCGGGCAGCGGCGGCCGCGGUGCCCGGUCGGCGGGGCCAUGGCGGCUCCGGACAGUUGCGUGAAGGUGGCCGUGAGAAUCCGUCCCCAACUGUCCAAAGAGAAAAUAGAGGGAUGUCACAUCUGCACCUCAGUGACACCUGGCGAGCCCCAAGUGCUGCUGGGGAAGGACAAGGCCUUCACCUAUGACUUUGUCUUUGACCUGGACACGUGGCAGGAGCAGAUCUACACAACGUGUGUUGGCAAGCUCAUUGAAGGCUGCUUUGAGGGCUACAACGCCACUGUGCUGGCAUAUGGACAGACUGGUGCGGGGAAGACGUACACCAUGGGCACUGGCUUUGACAUGAACAUCUCUGAGGAAGAGCAGGGCAUCAUCCCACGGGCCAUCGGCCACCUCUUCAGCGGCAUCGAGGAGCGCAAGCGCGCGGCGCAGAGUCAGGGCAGGGCACCUCCGGAGUUCAAAGUCAGUGCCCAGUUCCUGGAGCUCUACAACGAGGAGAUCCUGGACCUGUUUGACAGUGCCCGUGACCCUGACAUGCGCCAUCGCAAAUCCAACAUCAAAAUCCAUGAGGAUGCCAGUGGAAGCAUCUACACCACAGGGGUUACGUCUCGCCUCAUCAGCUCACAGGAUGAGCUGAUCCAAUGCCUAAAACAGGGAGCUCUUUCCCGCACCACCGCCAGCACCCAGAUGAAUGUGCAGAGCUCCCGGUCCCAUGCCAUCUUCACCAUUCACCUCUGCCAGAUGAGAGUGUGCGCCCGCCCGGAGCUGGUGAAUGGGGAGGUGACCAGCCUCCUGGAUGGAUCCCAGCCCACCACGGAGUACGAGACCCUCACAGCCAAGUUUCACUUCGUGGACCUGGCUGGCUCAGAGAGGCUGAAGCGGACAGGUGCUACCGGCGAGAGGGCCAAGGAAGGCAUCUCCAUCAACUGUGGGCUGCUGGCCCUGGGGAACGUCAUUAGUGCCCUCGGAGACCAGAGCAAGAAGGUUGUGCACGUACCCUACCGUGACUCCAAGCUCACCCGCCUGCUGCAGGAUUCCCUUGGGGGCAACAGCCAAACCAUCAUGAUCGCCUGCGUGAGCCCCUCUGACCGGGACUUCAUGGAGACCUUGAACACACUCAAGUAUGCCAACCGGGCCCGCAACAUCAAGAACAAGGUGGUGGUGAACCAGGACAAGACAAGUCAGCAGAUCAGUGCCCUGAGGGCCGAGAUUGCCCGGCUGCAGAUGGAGCUGAUGGAGUACAAGGCAGGCAAGCGGGUCGUUGGGGAGGAUGGCUCAGAAGGCUACAGUGACCUGUUCCGCGAGAACGCCAUGCUGCAGAAGGAGAACAGCACCCUGCGCAUGCGGGUGAAGGCCAUGCAAGAGGCCAUUGAUGCCAUCAACAGCAGGGUCACCCACCUCAUGAGCCAGGAGGCCAACCUCAUGCUGGCCAGGGCAGGAGACGGUAAUGAAGCUAUUGGCACCCUCAUCCAGAACUACAUUCGGGAGAUUGAAGAGCUGAGGACGAAGCUCCUGGAGAGCGAGUCCAUGAACGAGUCUCUGCGUCGCAGCCUCUCGCGUGCCUCUGCCCGGCCCCCUUAUUCCAUGGGCUCAUCCCCAGGCUCCAACUUGGCUGGGCUGUGCAGCCCCGCUGCACCGGUGGACACGGAGGCCUCCGAUGUCCUGCGACGGGCAAAGCAGGACCUGGAGCGCCUCAAGAAGAAAGAGAGGAGGCAGCGGAGGAAGAGCCCAGAGAAGGAAGCAUUUAAGAAAAGGCAGAAACUGCAGCAAGACAAUGAGGAGGAGACGGAUGAGAAUGAGGUGGAAGAGGAGGAAGAGGAGCAGGACGAGAGUGGCUGUGAGGAAGAGGAUGGACGUGAAGAUGAAGAUGAGGAUUCGGGCAGUGAAGAGAGCCUGGUGGACUCAGACUCGGAUGCAGAGGAGAAGGCCGUGAACUUCCAGGCUGACCUGGCAGAUCUGACUUGUGAGAUAGAGAUCAAACAGAAGCUGAUCGAUGAGCUGGAGAACAGCCAGCGGCGCCUGCAGACCCUCAAGCACCAGUACGAGGAGAAGCUGAUCCUGCUGCAGAACAAGAUUCGGGACACACAGCUGGAGCGGGACCGGGUCCUGCAGAAUCUCAGUACUAUGGAAUGCUACACAGAGGAGAAAGCCAACAAGAUCAAAGCAGACUAUGAGAAGCGGCUGAAGGAGAUGAACCGGGACCUGCAGAAGCUCCAGGCAGCCCAGAAGGAGCACGCUCGCCUGCUCAAGAACCAGUCCCGCUACGAGCGGGAGCUGAGGAAGCUGCAGGCAGAGGUGGCCGAGAUGAAGAAGGCAAAGGUGGCACUGAUGAAGCAGAUGCGGGAGGAGCAGCAGCGGAGGCGGCUGGCAGAGACAAAGAGGAAUCGGGAGAUAGCGCAGCUCAAGAAGGAGCAGCGGCGGCAGGAGUUUCAGAUCCGGGCUCUGGAGUCUCAGAAGCGGCAGCAGGAAAUAGUGCUGCGGAGGAAAACUCAGGAGGUCUCGGCACUGCGCCGCCUCGCUAAGCCCAUGUCGGACCGGGUGGCAGGCAGGACGAGCCAGAAGCCGGCAAUGCUAGACUCAGGCGCCGAGGUCUCGGCCAGCACCACGUCCUCCGAGCCCGAGUCCGGCGCUCGCUCUGUCUCCAGCAUUGUGCGCCAGUGGAACAGGAAAAUCAACAACUUCCUGGGAGACCCCUCAUCCCCCAUGAACGGGGCUCGGCCUGCCAGGAAGAAGUUCCCCAAGAAGGGGGCGAGCCAGACUUUCAGCAAAGCCGCUCGCCUCAAGUGGCAGUCACUGGAGCGGCGCAUCUUCGACAUUGUCAUGCAGAGAAUGACCAUCGUUAACCUGGAGGCUGACAUGGAGCGGCUCAUCAAGAAACGCGAGGAGCUGGCCCUGCUGCAGGAAGCAUUGCUGGGCAAGAGGUCAAAACUGCAGGCAGAGAACCCCAAGGGGCUGCAGGAGCUGAACGAGGAGAUCGAGGUGCUGGGGGCCAACAUUGACUACAUCAACGACAGCAUUUCUGACUGCCAGGCCACCAUCAUGCAGAUCGAGGAGACCAAGGAGGAGCUGGACUCCACAGACACCUCGGUGGUGAUCAGUUCGUGCUCCCUGGCCGAAGCCCGGCUCCUGCUGGACAACUUCCUGAAGGCCUCCAUAGACAAGGGGCUGCAGGUAGCACAGAAGGAUGCCCAGAUCCGCCUGCUGGAGGGGCGCCUGCGGCAGACAGACAUGGCAGGCUCCUCGCAGAACCACGCCAUCCUGGACGCACUGCGGGAGAAGGCUGAGUCGCACCCCGAGCUGCAGGCCCUGAUCCACAACGUCCAGCAAGAGAAUGGCUACACCAGCACCGAUGAGGAGGUCUCGGAGUUCAGCCUGGCUUCAGAUGGGAGCAUCUCCCAGUCUUUCACCAUGAAGGGCUCAGCAAGCCAGGAUGACUUCAAGUUCAAGGGAGAGCCCAAGCUCUCAGGGCAGAUGAAAGCAGUGUCAGCUGAGUGUCUAGGACCCACGCUGGAUGUCUCCACCAAGAACAUCACCAAGUCCUUGGCAUCCCUUAUGGAGAUCAAAGAGGAUGGGAUCAGCUUCUCCGUCAGAGACCCCUAUUACAAGGAGAAAGUGUCGCGCACCAUCAGCCUGCCCACGCGAGGAAGCACCUUUCCCAGGCAGUCUCGUGGCUCGGACACUUCACCUCUGACCAGGAGGAAAUCCUACGACCGUGGCCAACCUGCCAGGCCUCCAGACGUUGGCUUCACGCCUCCCUCAUCCCCACCCACCCGUCCACGCAACGACCGCAAUGUCUUCUCUCGUCUCACGAGCAACCAGAGCCAAGGGUCUGCCUUGGACAAGUCUGAUGACAGCGAUUCCUCUGUCUCGGAGGUGCUGAGGGGUGUCAUUAACCCGGUGGGUGGCACCAAGAAUGCCCGGACAGCCCCGCUACAAUGCGUCUCCAUGGCAGAAGGACACACCAAGCCUGUGCUCUGCCUGGAUGCCACUGAUGAGCUGCUAUUCACUGGGUCCAAAGACCGAAGCUGCAAAAUGUGGAACCUGGUAACGGGCCAAGAAAUUGCUUCCCUCAAGGGUCACCCAAACAACGUGGUUUCCAUCAAGUACUGCAGCCACACAGGGCUGGUGUUCACUGUGUCUACAUCAUACAUCAAAGUGUGGGACAUCCGGGACUCAGCCCGCUGCAUCCGCACCCUCACAUCUUCUGGACAGGUGAUCUCUGGGGAUGCCUGUGCUGGGACCAGCACCCGCAUGGUCACCAGUGUGCAGGGGGAGCACCAGAUCAACCAGAUUGCUCUGAACCCCACUGGCACCAUGCUCUAUGCUGCCACUGGGAACUCCGUCCGCAUCUGGGAGCUGAGCAGGUUGCAGCCCAUCGGGAAGCUGAGUGGCCACAUUGGGCCUGUGAUGUGCCUCACGGUAAACCAGACGGCGAGCAACCACGACCUGGUGGUCACAGGCUCCAAAGAUCACUAUGUCAAGGUAUUUGAGAUUGCUGAGGGCAUGGUGGGCAAUAUUGGCCCCACUCACAAUUUUGAGCCUCCUCACUAUGACGGCAUCGAGUGCCUGGCCAUCCAGGGAGACAUCCUCUUCAGCGGCUCCAGGGACAAUGGCAUAAAGAAGUGGGAUCUGGAGCAGCAGGAACUUAUCCAGCAAAUCCCCAAUGCCCACAAAGACUGGGUGUGUGCCCUGGCCUUCAUUCCCGGGCGCCCCAUGGUGCUGAGCGCUUGCCGAGGAGGCAUGAUCAAAGUGUGGAACGUGGACACCUUCACCCCAGUUGGGGAGAUCAAGGGGCACGACAGCCCCAUCAACGCCAUCUGCACCAACUCAAAGCACAUCUUCACUGCCUCCAGUGACUGCCGGGUAAAGUUAUGGAAUUACGUGCCUGGGCUCACCCCUUGCCUUCCACGACGCGUCCUUGCCAUAAAGGGCCGUGCUACUAGUCUGCCUUGACCCUCCUGCUCUUUCUCUCUUGCUCAUGCAGUCUUCUGUCUUUUCUUCCCUUUUCUCUUUCUCUCCAUCUUUUUCUCCCUCUGUCUUUCUGUCGCUUGCUUUCACUCCUCCCUCCCCCUCUCUUUUUCUUCCCUUCUCUCUGGUCUGAGCUGCUUCUUCACGUGACUUGACAGUGAAGCUCUGGAGCGGGAGGAGGUUACCCGCGGGGUCCAACUAGGAGCUGCAAAGACUGGAGGACAUGACAGGAGGGUGAAGGUCGGGGUACCUCUCCCUCGCUAUCAAGACCUGGUCAUCUCUAGGAGCUCAGUCCAGGGACGGGGAUUUCUUUGUGCCUGACCCGGUGGGGUGGACGAUGUCCCAUCUGGUACUUUGACCACUGCUAGCUCCUGUGAGAAGGCAGCUCCAUGGGGCAUCAUCAGCUCCACCUUCCCUCCUGUUGAGGUUUCUUGGUGGUUUUCCAGUGACCAGGAAGUGUUUCAGCUCUUCUCUCACCCACCUGCUGUAAUGCCUGAUGGGAAUUCUGAGCAUCAGAGCUCCUUGACUCCUUCUGAGACCCCCCACUGUCUCCAUGGGCUUAUGUGGCCUCCACCACGAUGUGCUGCUUCUAUCCUUGCUGGGUCCGGGCCUGGUUCCUGCAGUAGUCUUUUGCCACACCACAGCCACGAGGACAUUUAGUGUCUGCUGGCCAGGACCACAGUAUAGAGGGGCUGCUCUUCGGAGCCUUUACUUGUGGGACAGCCUCUCUGCUGUGGGCAGUCUGGAGAAGGAUUUCAAGGUAGUCCCAUCAUUCCACGUCCUCCAUCUACCUGUUCCCAGCAGUUGGAGGUGGGCACCUCUGAGUUCCUUUGCUAUGUCCCAGCUCUGGAUGCACAGCAAGCCUGGGAACAUCUCCAUCAGUCAACUUACAGACAAACUUGCUGCAGUUCCCUUUGACAUUCUCUAAACCCCAGUCAUAAACUCAGCUGAACCAUGGCUCACGGGCUCUUGCCCUUGUGCUCUGCAGUGGGGAAGGGCUGCUUAGCCCUGCUCUUGACAUCUUGGCCCUCAGCAGGGCUUUUGUGGUGGGUUCCUGCAGCAUGUUGACCCCCUUGAGGUAGAGAAACAAAGCAAGAACAGAGGUUACAGGGCAAAGAGGCCAAGGCUCGAUUCAUCACCAUCAACCCUGUGACCCAUCUUGUUCUGGAAGCUGUAAAUCCUUCCUCCAGGCUCUGCUCUCAGCCUUCUACCUGGGAAGGAGUAGCUCAGGUUUGGCCCAUUGGCCUCAUGGAUCUAGAAGCCAGAGAAGGCCAAGCAAGGCAUGGAGCAGCCGGAGGAUGGGCCAGAAGCAGGGUUAGGAAGGGGCUGCACACACUCGUCUUGCACAAGUCUCCUGAUUCAGCCCAUGCUUGAAGGACAAUCCUGCAGUGGAUGAACUUGCACGGUCCAAUCUCCAUGAAAAGCUGGGUACUCUGUCCAGGACUCUUUUCCCAAGGAUGCAGCUUCCCCAGGCUCCCUCCUCCCUCUGGCUCCAGGGCAUGCAAGGCCCUGGUCUCACACUGGAGCCUUCCUCCAUCAAUCCUGUUGGAUCAUCUCAUGCUCCGUCCUGCCCUGGGCCAGGCAGGGCUUCUCCUGGAAUGGCUGGAGAGAACCUGGUGUUCUCUGCCACAGAAGAAGCAGUGUUUGAACUCAAAUUUAAGGAUUUCUUCAUGAGAUCCCACCAGCACUGAACUGGGAUCUCAGAGGCCACAGGGGGUUCAGGACCUGCCCCCCAGACCAUUUUCCCUGUGCUUUUUCCAACCAUGGUGACUCAUGGACUACCCUUGGCUCAUUUUGGGGGAAAACCCCAUCCUACUGGCUUGCCUUCGUGGUAGGUGUGAUGAGCGUGUGUGAGUGUGACCCUGCCCAGGACAGUGAGCAGCCCCUUGUGAUCAUGUCUGAGCCCUGCAUUGAGGUGAGGAGCCCUCCUGCCAUGGCUGAUGGAGAACUGAGAGUAAGGCACAGACUUGGGGCUUCAGGAGGCGUCAUCCUCCUUGGAAAGGGUUUCCCUGCUCAUUCCAGAGCUGGUGGAAGCUUUGCUUGGCUGGAAUGGGUGGUGUGGAUGUGUGUGUUUGGGCAGGGAUGUGUGUUUGAGUGUCUGUAACCAGGUGUACCAUGUGCAUCAACGUCUGCACCAAGAUCUGCCAGUGCCUGAUGCGGAACCCCUCGCUGCUCCCUGCUGAAGUCGACGAAGGAACCUGCUCUUGGGGGACUCUUGGGGUCAGAUCUUUCCUUUCACCACCAGUUUCUUCUUGUGUGUAGGCUGCAAGUGCCUGCUUUAUUUCCCAGGGCUGAGUGUUCAAUCCUGCCUGAUGCUGAGCAUCCACCUCGCUACUAUGUCCAGUAGCAUCUUGAAGGGGCCUCAAGGCUUUUGCAGCCUGCAGGUGCUGCAGAACAGCAGCAAGUGACUGGAUAGAGGGGUCUUUGAAGAGAGGGGUAACUGUGAUCUCAUAGUUCUCUGUGUGUGUGUGUGUGUGUUUUAGUAUCUGUGUGGGUUGGUAUUUCCCAUGCAGAAGAGCAUUUCUCGGGUGUUGAUCUGGUUUAGCUACCUCACGGUGCAAGCUGGGUGCUGUUGUUACUGGGUUUGUGUCGGGAAUGGGGUGGGGAGUGUUUGCUGUUAGUUUUUUUUUCUUCUCUUAAUUGUUGUUUCUGUUUUUCACACUUGAAUUCAUGCUGGGGACACAUGGCCUCACCCCCACCUCACUGUAUGGACCCUCGUGCAGCAGGACCACAUCAAGCUCUCACCUUUGCAGUGGGAUUCCCCCCAGCUAAGUCACAACACUGAGGUUUUGCUCCUGUUGCUGGUGGGGUGCUUGGGCUGAGCCUCAGCUUUGUUGCUAUUAGUUACUGUGUUGAUCUGCAGUUUGGAAGUGGUCUCUUUUGUCCCCUUGAAGGAUGGCAAGGGACCUCUGAAAGGCUCAGCUCAACCUGGAUUCCUGCCUCUGUUCUCAGAGGGCGCAGUGAAGCCCUUCUUGUGUGGAGAAUGUCCAUGCAAAGCACAUCACUGGAAUGAACUGGUCCUAGUCCCCAUUUUCCAGAGCCUGCAGCCUGGAGCAGCAGCGAACUGGUCGUGUAAAAGCCUCCGUCCAGGUCUGUGAGAGAACAUCAUUCUCAUGUGUGAUGUUUGAUUAUUUUAUCCCCAAACCAUAGUUGAAUCUAGAUCUAGUCCCAGACACUGAACGUAAACCAGGGUAACCCUGGAGCCCCCAGAUUACCCCCUACUCGGGGCUGGAAAGCUGACACAGGGUUGUGUCCUGCUUUCCUGGCACGAUGGGGUUUGGAAAGGGGCUCACAGCUCUGAGCCACACUCUGAGCCAGUUUAGGGGGGGCAGGUUCCCCCAAACACUAAAGCACAAGGUCCCAACAUGCAGCAGGGGUGGCCCCUGGGACUCUGGUCCUUCAGAGCUCAGAGUGGGGCCAUGGGCUUAGACAGCCAAGGUGGAGAUGGGCUCAGGUGAGGGCUGUUUGCCUGCUGGAGGAAGCGGGUGAGCUGUGUCAUCCUUUGCACUGUGCUGGGGAGCUCCUCUGGGGCUCAGGACUUGCACAGCUUAAGCACCUUCUUGUGGCCUCUGAAUCCCCCUGUCAUUGCAGGGACAGUUUUGAGCUGCCUUUGCACCAUGCACCUCGUUUUGCUUUGCCCUUGGGUGCAUUGGUCUGAUACCUGCAGUCCAGGGAGGUCCUUCCCUUCCUCAAAUCACUGGGUGCUGCUUUUGUCCCCAGGGCCUGACUCUUGCCCCGUGGGUCUCCCCACUCCAGCACACAGGGGCCAGCUCCUGCCUCUGCUGAGGGUGUAGUGCUGGCCCAGAGCUGAGCUUUGCACACAAGGCUCCCCAAACCACUCUGAGCCCACCAGGAAGCCUGGGCACUGUCCCAUCCCUGGCACUCGCAGCUCCUGUGGCACAAAAGGACAGGCUGGUGCUGCAGCUCCCAGUCUGGCCAGAUGUGAGGAGCUGGGCACUAGGGUCCUGUCCCCCCCACUGUUCCUCCCCAGCACCUCUAAGCACAGAUGCUUUGGGGUCUCAGCUUCUGCCUCCUGCCUUGGUGCUGCAGAACUGGUGCCUGCUCCCCAGGGUGCUCUCCCAGUGCCCCUAUCCCAGCCCUUCUUCCCUUGUUCCAUACGGGACAGGGUGCAGGUACAAUCCCUGCAGAGCAUGGAGCUCCCACUUGCUUUUCAGCAAGCCCACAGCCUGCAGGCUGCAACACCCUCCCUGAACACCCUCCUUCCUGGGGAGGAAAAGGGACUCCUGGCCCUCCUGGUGCUCCAGCUGGAACUGGGAGGGAGCCCUGCACAACCCCAAUCCCCCAGGCCCUGGUCUGGAUUCCUGGGCAUCACCCUUAGAAAAGCACAGCCCUGUACCUUCCUCCUGCCCCAGGGGGCUUUUCCCUUCAUCCAUAACAGCUCUGCCUGGUACCUGCCAGCUCUUCCACAUGCCCCAUGUCCCGGGAUCACCCAGCACCCUCCAGUCCAGUCCUGGGGAGGGCUCAGGCAGCGGCAGCAUCACGUCACCUGCUCCAUCACCCCUGCCCGCUGCACAAGCAUUGCAAAUAGCAGGUGCCUUCUCUUGCUCAGAGCUGUUUUCUAGAGGCCAACUCUUGUGAAGGUGUGUUUUUUGUCUCUGCUGGGUCAUGCAGCCCAGCCCAGCAGUCUGGGUAUGUCAGAGGACAAGGUGUGUACAUAUAUUUUAUACCACGAUGUGUUGCUGUAAAUAGUGUAAGUUAUUUUGGUCUCAUGAUGUACAUGUUUUUACAAUGGUUGUGGUUGGUCCUUGCCUUUUUGUCCUCACAAAUAUAAUGUACUGAGAUGAAG
Strigops habroptila (Kakapo) is the source of this 9813-nucleotide RNA transcript. It is a transcript of the gene named kinesin family member 21B, with no coding region annotated. The transcript has 36 exons. NCBI's taxonomy places the organism in Eukaryota, Metazoa, Chordata, Aves, Psittaciformes, Psittacidae. The record is from RefSeq and is a predicted model, not a curated record.